GACGAACGCUGGCGGCGUGCUUAACACAUGCAAGUCGAACGGAAAGGCCCUUCGGGGUACUCGAGUGGCGAACGGGUGAGUAACACGUGGGUGAUCUGCCCUGCACUUUGGGUUAAGCCUGGGAAACUGGGUCUAAUACCGAAUAGGACCACGCGCUUCAUGGUGUGUGGUGGAAAGCUUUUGCGGUGUGGGAUGGGCCCGCGGCCUAUCAGCUUGUUGGUGGGGUAAUGGCCUACCAAGGCGACGACGGGUAGCCGGCCUGAGAGGGUGAACGGCCACACUGGGACUGAGAGACGGCCCAGACUCCUACGGGAGGCAGCAGUGGGGAAUAUUGCACAAUGGGCGCAAGCCUGAUGCAGCGACGCCGCGUGAGGGAUGACGGCCUGCGGGUUGUAAACCUCUUUCGCCAGGGACGAAGCGUAAGUGACGGUACCUGGAGAAGAAGCACCGGCCAACUACGUG
This 462-nucleotide ribosomal RNA is filed under the name uncultured bacterium. RNAcentral describes it as "partial 16S ribosomal RNA". It matches the Rfam family "Bacterial small subunit ribosomal RNA", at positions 28 to 507 of the family's 1533-position model. The record is from RNAcentral.